UUGUAGAACUUAUGUCUCCUCAACUACCAGCUCCACAAGUUUUCCACCAUCCGGCUCGAUCAGCCCGCAUCGGAUUCGGGCCGCCGCCAACGGCCCGGCCCGAUACCUGGAACGCCAUGAAAGUGGGAUAUGUUGAGGUAAAACGAAAUGGGUUUUGUGGGUUUUGGGUAAAUAUUGAGAUGGACCUGGAGUUUUGAGAAACAGAGAAGCCAUUGUCGCCAUUAGAGAGAUACAGUGUGG
This 240-nucleotide unclassified non-coding RNA is filed under the name Hevea brasiliensis (rubber tree). Lineage: Eukaryota; Viridiplantae; Streptophyta; Magnoliopsida; Malpighiales; Euphorbiaceae. The record is from RNAcentral.